GUGCGAAAACUUUACAAUACACGCAAGUGUGAUAAGGGGAUUCCAAGUGCUAACGCUUUGCGUUGGCUUUUGCCAAGGGUAAGAACCUUGGCGAAUAAGUGGUGGGCAAGACUGGUGCCAGCCGCCGCGGUAACACCAGCUCCACGAGUGGGGAUCGGAUUUAUUGGGCCUAAAGCGUCCGUAGCCGGUUUAGCAAAUCUUUUGUGAAAUUGUCAAGCUCAACUUGACAGCGUGCAGGAGAGACUACUAGACUAGGGACUGGGAAGAGUGUGGGGUAUUCCUUAGGGAGCGGUAAAAUGUUAUAAUCUUUGGAAGACCACCUGUGGCGAAGGCGCCACACUAGAACAGAUCCGACGGUGAGGGACGAAAGCUAGGGGAGCGAUCCGGAUUAGAUACCCGAGUAGUCCUAAGCCGUAAACCCUGCGAGUUAGGUGUUGCAUAUUCUUCGGGAAUAUGCAGUAUCGAAGUGAAGACGCUUAAAAC
This 483-nucleotide ribosomal RNA is filed under the name uncultured Halobacteriales archaeon. Its description in RNAcentral is "bacterial SSU rRNA". It matches the Rfam family "Archaeal small subunit ribosomal RNA", at positions 339 to 820 of the family's 1478-position model. Lineage: Archaea; Methanobacteriati; Methanobacteriota; Halobacteria; Halobacteriales. The record is from RNAcentral.